Molecule: ribosomal RNA, 577 nt
Filed under: uncultured Ferrimicrobium sp.
Lineage: Bacteria; Bacillati; Actinomycetota; Acidimicrobiia; Acidimicrobiales; Acidimicrobiaceae
Description: bacterial SSU rRNA
Rfam family: Bacterial small subunit ribosomal RNA
Source: RNAcentral
GCAGUCGACGAUUCCUACGGGAGGCAGCAGUUAGGAAUCUUGCGCAAUGGGCGAAAGCCUGACGCAGCGACGCCGCGUGCGGGAUGACGGCCUUCGGGUUGUAAACCGCUUUCAGCAGGGACGAUUGUGACGGUACCUGCAGAAGAAGCCCCGGCCAACUACGUGCCAGCAGCCGCGGUAAUACGUAGGGGGCAAGCGUUGUCCGGAUUUAUUGGGCGUAAAGAGCUCGUAGGCGGUUUGGUAAGUCGGGUGUGAAAUCUCCACGCUCAACGUGGAGGGGCCACUCGAUACUGCCAUGACUAGAGUCCGGUAGAGGAGUGUGGAAUUCCCGGUGUAGCGGUGAAAUGCGCAGAUAUCGGGAGGAACACCCGUAGCGAAGGCGGCACUCUGGGCCGGAACUGACGCUGAGGAGCGAAAGCGUGGGGAGCAAACAGGAUUAGAUACCCUGGUAGUCCACGCCGUAAACGUUGGGCACUAGGUGUGGGGAUCUAUCGACGGUUUCCGUGCCGAAGCUAACGCAUUAAGUGCCCCGCCUGGGGAGUACGGCCGCAAGGCUAAAACUCAAAGGAAUUGACGG